GAGAGCGGCGUACGGGUGCGGAACACGUGUGCAACCUGCCUUUAUCAGGGGGAUAGCCUUUCGAAAGGAAGAUUAAUACCCCAUAAUAUAUUGAUUGGCAUCAAUUAAUAUUGAAAACUCCGGUGGAUAGAGAUGGGCACGCGCAAGAUUAGAUAGUUGGUGAGGUAACGGCUCACCAAGUCAGUGAUCUUUAGGGGGCCUGAGAGGGUGAUCCCCCACACUGGUACUGAGACACGGACCAG
This 242-nucleotide ribosomal RNA is filed under the name uncultured bacterium. Its description in RNAcentral is "partial 16S ribosomal RNA". It matches the Rfam family "Bacterial small subunit ribosomal RNA", at positions 91 to 334 of the family's 1533-position model. The record is from RNAcentral.